This 253-nucleotide ribosomal RNA is filed under the name uncultured bacterium. Its description in RNAcentral is "partial 16S ribosomal RNA". It matches the Rfam family "Bacterial small subunit ribosomal RNA", at positions 524 to 776 of the family's 1533-position model. The record is from RNAcentral.
UACGUAGGGUGCAAGCGUUAAUCGGAAUUACUGGGCGUAAAGCGUGCGCAGGCGGUUUUGUAAGUCUGUCGUGAAAGCCCCGGGCUCAACCUGGGAAUUGCGAUGGAGACUGCAAGGCUUGAAUCUGGCAGAGGGGGGUAGAAUUCCACGUAUAGCAGUGAAAUGCGUAGAGAUGUGGAGGAACACCGAUGGCGAAGGCAGCCCCCUGGGUCAAGAUUGACGCUCAUGCACGAAAGCGUGGGGAGCAAACAGG